GCCUCUAUAGCUCAGUGGCAGAGCGUCUGUGUCUUGUGAACAGAUGGUCUGUGGUUCAAUCCCGUAUAGAGGAC
RNAcentral lists this transfer RNA (74 nucleotides) under Nippostrongylus brasiliensis. It matches the Rfam family "tRNA". Rfam says of the family: Transfer RNA (tRNA) molecules are approximately 80 nucleotides in length. The record is from Rfam by way of RNAcentral. Lineage: Eukaryota; Metazoa; Nematoda; Chromadorea; Rhabditida; Heligmosomidae.